RNAcentral lists this unclassified non-coding RNA (2358 nucleotides) under Hevea brasiliensis (rubber tree). Lineage: Eukaryota; Viridiplantae; Streptophyta; Magnoliopsida; Malpighiales; Euphorbiaceae. The record is from RNAcentral.
ACUGGAUAUAAUUUUUCCAGCUACUGUCUGUUCUGUUGCGCACUGUCACUGCCCUUUCCCUCUAGGAAAUCUCAUUUGCCAUGAUCGCUCUGAGCCAUCGAGUCUCGGCCGCUGCCGCCGUGCCGGUUGCGCCACUUUUAUAUCGUCUCCUCGCUGUCUGCCGAUUGUACACGACUGCUGGCGCAGCCCAACCGCAGCUCGACCCCGAUUACUACUACUACAACGACAACAGCAACUACCGUGAGCGAAGCCGCAAUCGGCUUGCCAAGGCUCCAAUGGCCGACUCCGAAAGCUCGGUUCCGAGAAGAGGAGUGCACUGGGCGUUCAUAGGAUAUCCGCGCAUCAAGAAGCGCAUGUACGUUGAGAGACUCUCUGAGCUCCUAGAAGUCCCCUACAUUUCUAUGGCUAGUCUCGUUCGUCAAGAACUGAACCCAGGCACCUCUCUCUACAAACAGGUCUUAAUUUCAUGUUUGAUUUCUCUGUUUCUUGGAAUUGUUUUUGGUAUUCCCUUGUAGCGCUUGGAAAUUUCGUAGGAAUUAAUUUUGAAACUAUUCGCUAGGGUUCUCUUUGGAUUGUUUUGUUGAUGAUCUUUGCCUGUAAAGAAUCAAGCUCACCUUAUUUUGUACUUUCAAGGAACCCAACUGAUACCAAGGUUUUUCUGAUCACUAAAAUUGAGAAAUGUUAGGCCACAGUAAACGACAUUUUGUCAGUUGAACCUUUUAUGUUGUGAAAAUGAUUGCAAAUUAGAAUGAUGCUAUUGUGUGGAAAAUUGGCAAUGCAGAGGUUAAAGUUUUAUGUACUGUACUUGACAAUGACAAUUACUAGAAAUGGCCCUGCUGAAGAUUGAUAUACUCUAUUUGGAUAAUCUUUGAUUAUUACAAGUGAAUGAAGCUACUUAUUUUAAAGGUUUCUCUUGUCCUAGCUGCUUCUUAUCUACCACUAUUGUUUAUUCGACUUAUAUGGAAAUAUUGCUAUAGGUCACUCACUCCUUGUCUUCAAUUUAAUUAGAUUGCAAAUGCUGUAAAUCGUGGUAAACUUGUUCCAGAGGAUAUAAUUUUUGGCUUGCUGUCUAAGAGGUUAGAAGAUGGGUAUUACAGAGGUGAAACUGGUUUUAUUUUGGAUGGAAUUCCUCGUUCAAAGUUACAAGCUGUAAGUCUUUUUGGCAAUUUCAUGUACAUGUCAUCAAUUGAAUGCUCUUUAUUCAAAGAUGCCUAACAAGUGUCCUGUUCAUGGAGAUUUAUUAUGUUGUCCAAGAGGAUAUGUAGUAAUCCUUAUUGUGUCUUCUCUUCUUGCCUAGUUUUUGUGUUUAGUAGGGAUGCUUUUUAAUUACAAAUCUGCUACUGCUAGAAAUGCUAGAUACUGAUCUAUCUGCGUUCUUUUCAUUUUCUUUUAAAUCUAUGUAGGAGAUUCUUGAUGAACUUGCAAAGAUUGAUUUGGUUGUGAAUUUUAAAUGCACCGAUGAUUUCUUGAUAAAGAACCAAGAAGGUAGUAUUUCUGUUCUUUGUUAUGAAUUGUGUGAACUGGACAAUUCCUGUGGUACAAGUCCUGAUAUUACCUCACAUCAGAGUCAACUGAAAUAUUCCACUAUCAUUGCAGAAGGUGCCUGGAAAGAUAAGCUCCAAGCCUAUAUUGAGCAGGUGAACAGUAAACCUUUUGCUUGUGUCUUCUUAAGUUACAGCAUUAACUUUCAAUAUAUUUGCUAAUUUCCAGCAUGGUGUGGUUAUGUCUUUUGCACAUAUUUUUUUCUCUCCUCUUUUUUGGUCCAGUCUUAUCUUUGCACAGCCUUGCCCUUUUAUUCCAGCUACCCCCAACUCUACAAGAAAAGAUAAUGUUAGACAUUUUGCAACUUUUCAUCAAUGAAUUGUGAGCGGCUGAUUUAGACUUGCAUGUUUGUUGUAAUUGACACCUUUUAUUUCUUUUCUACCAAAUAAUUUCCUUGUGUAUGACGUUAUCGUUGCUACCAACUACAAUAAAUGUGAAGAAUGACUAAUCUGUCUGCCUUGGUUCUUUUCUUUUUAUCUUCCCCAUAAGAUCUCAGAUCUAACUUCUGAACCAAUAUUGUCGUAUGGAUCAAUGUGAUAAAUCAGAAUGACUAGCUUUUAUGUGGCAUGGAAAGAUGGAGCACAAAGUCAAAAACAUCCUUUAGUCAGUGAAGUUUUUUUUGAAUUUUUCUGUUUGUUUCCUCUGUUCAUCUUGUAUGGGCAGAAAUUUUCAGGUGCACAAACUUCUGUAUUAUGGUCCAUGCCCUUGCUUCCUUAAGUGGCUUGUAUAAUCCAUUAAGACUUGGGAGAGAAAUAUAUCGGCUAAAUGAGUUAAAAUUAUGUUAUUUAUUUGAUAGCAAGGAGGAGAGAAAGGAAA